Molecule: ribosomal RNA, 468 nt
Filed under: uncultured bacterium
Lineage: Bacteria
Description: partial 16S ribosomal RNA
Rfam family: Bacterial small subunit ribosomal RNA
Source: RNAcentral
GACGAACGCUGGCGGCGUGCUUAACACAUGCAAGUCGAACGGAAAGGCCCUGCGUUUGUGGGGUGCUCGAGUGGCGAACGGGGGAGUAACACGUGAGUAACCUGCCCUUGACUUUGGGAUAACUUCAGGAAACUGGGGCUAAUACCGUAUAGGAGCUCCUGCUGCAUGGUGGGGGGUGGAAAGUUUCGGCGGUUGGGGAUGGACGCGCGGCUUAUCAGCUUGUUGGUGGGGUAGUGGCUUACCAAGGCUUUGACGGGUAGCCGGCCUGAGAGGGUGACCGGCCACAUUGGGACUGAGAUACGGCCCAGACUCCUACGGGAGGCAACAGUGGGGAAUAUUGCACAAUGGGCGGAAGCCUGAUGCAGCAACGCCGCGUGCGGGAUGACGGCCUUCGGGUUGUAAACCGCUUUCGCCUGUGACGAAGCGUGAGUGACGGUAAUGGGUAAAGAAGCACCGGCUAACUACGUG